This 522-nucleotide ribosomal RNA is filed under the name Salmonella enterica subsp. enterica serovar Enteritidis. RNAcentral describes it as "partial 23S ribosomal RNA". It matches the Rfam family "Bacterial large subunit ribosomal RNA", at positions 689 to 1209 of the family's 2925-position model. Lineage: Bacteria; Pseudomonadati; Pseudomonadota; Gammaproteobacteria; Enterobacterales; Enterobacteriaceae. The record is from RNAcentral.
UGGGCGUUAAGUUGCAGGGUAUAGACCCGAAACCCGGUGAUCUAGCCAUGGGCAGGUUGAAGGUUGGGUAACACUAACUGGAGGACCGAACCGACUAAUGUUGAAAAAUUAGCGGAUGACCUGUGGCUGGGGGUGAAAGGCCAAUCAAACCGGGAGAUAGCUGGUUCUCCCCGAAAGCUAUUUAGGUAGCGCCUCGUGAAUUCAUCUCCGGGGGUAGAGCACUGUUUCGGCUAGGGGGCCAUCCCGGCUUACCAACCCGAUGCAAACUGCGAAUACCGGAGAAUGUUAUCACGGGAGACACACGGCGGGUGCUAACGUCCGUCGUGAAGAGGGAAACAACCCAGACCGCCAGCUAAGGUCCCAAAGUCAUGGUUAAGUGGGAAACGAUGUGGGAAGGCCCAGACAGCCAGGAUGUUGGCUUAGAAGCAGCCAUCAUUUAAAGAAAGCGUAAUAGCUCACUGGUCGAGUCGGCCUGCGCGGAAGAUGUAACGGGGCUAAACCAUGCACCGAAGCUGCGGCAGC